AAGCCUGAUGCCGCGACGCCGCGUGAGGGAUGACGGCYCUCGNGUUGUAAACCUCUUUUCUCGGGGAAGANAGAGGACUUAACCUGAGGAAUAAGUCACGGCUAACUACGUGCCAGCAGCCGCGGUAAUACGUAGGUGGCAAGCGUUUUCCGGAAUUACUGGGCGUAAAGGGUCCGUAGGCGGUUUGGUAAGUCUUCUGUGAAAGCUCCCGGYUCAACUUGGAGUCGUCGGGAGAAACUGCUGAACUANAGACUGUCAAAGGCAGGUGGAAUUCCCGGUGUAGUGGUGAAAUACGUANAUAUCGGGAGGAACACCAGUGGCGAAAGCGGCCUGCUGGGGCAGUUCUGACGCUNAGGGACUAAAGCGUGGGGAGCGAACCGGAUUANAUACCCGGGUAGUCCACGCCCUAAACNAUGAAUGCUANGUCUUCGGGGUGUUAAUUCCCUGUGGGCCGAAGGUAACCCAUUAAGCAUUUCGCCUGGGGACUACNGCCGCAAGGCUAAAACUCAAAUGAAUUGACGG
This 522-nucleotide ribosomal RNA is filed under the name uncultured bacterium. RNAcentral describes it as "partial 16S ribosomal RNA". It matches the Rfam family "Bacterial small subunit ribosomal RNA", at positions 379 to 916 of the family's 1533-position model. The record is from RNAcentral.